CUGGGAUAUGGCGACAUGUAUCCGGAGACCUGGUCAGGCAUGGUUGUGGGUGCACUUUGUGCAUUGGCUGGCGUGUUAACAAUAGCCAUGCCAGUACCUGUCAUUGUCAAUAAC
Molecule: non-coding RNA, 114 nt
Organism: Tetraodon nigroviridis (spotted green pufferfish)
Lineage: Eukaryota; Metazoa; Chordata; Actinopteri; Tetraodontiformes; Tetraodontidae
Source: Rfam